This is a non-coding RNA of Capra hircus (goat), 1130 nucleotides long. Lineage: Eukaryota; Metazoa; Chordata; Mammalia; Artiodactyla; Bovidae. The record is from the annotation of a RefSeq genome assembly.
AUAGUUACAUAAAAAACUUCAACGUUGGAACAAAGCUUGUUGUCACAGAUAGAAACCUUGCUACAGACCUUUCACCCAAGCCCACUAUCUUUCUUCCUUCAAUUGCUGAAAUCAACCACAAUAAAACUGGAACAUACCUUUGUCUUCUGGAGAAAUUUUUCCCUGAUAUUAUUAAGGUUUAUUGGAAAGAAAAGGAUGGCAACAGAGCUCUGCCAUCCCAGCAGGGAAAUACCAUGAACACCACUGACACAUACAUGAAGCUCAGCUGGCUGACUGUGACUGAAAACUCCAUGGAUAAAGAACAUAUCUGUGUCGUCCAACAUGAGAGAAAUAUAAGAGGAAUUAAUCAAGAGAUUCUUUUUCCUUCAAUAAAUGAAGUUGUCAGCUCAAUUGUCCCUACCACUGAGGCUCCCAGUGACUGUUUAAACCAGGAAAGCAAAGUUACCGGCACUGGUUCUAAAAAAGUUUGUCUGAAAGAUGAAAGCGAAGUCACUGCUGAUAAUAAUUCUACAAAAGUGUGUCUGGAAGAUGAAAGCAAUACCCUGCAGCUGCAGCUCAUGAACACCUCUGCCUAUUACACCUACCUCCUCCUCCUCCUCAAGAGUGUGGUCUACUUUAUCAUCAUCACCUCCUGUGUGUUUCGGAGAACAGGCAUCUGCUGUGAUGGGAAGAACUCGUGACAGAGGGUCCCUGAAGGAGUCAGCUUUCCUUAAUCAUCUGUCAUUACUGAAACUCUCUGCUUGGUUUUUGGAUUUGGGUUAUCUCAGUGCAUAUGUGAUUUUUUCCCCUUUUAUGUCAUUAUUGUGUAACAAUUUUUCAAACACUGGGGAAACAGAGAGUUCUACCCUGUGACAAGGAAUUCUGUUAUUACUCAGGGAACAAGGCCCAGGGAAGGUCCAGGGGAGCCUCUCCCACCACUGUCCCCAACCACAUCAGCUCCUUCCACCCCAAGUCCUCGUGCCUCCAGGACGCACAAAGCGGGCAGCUCCCCAUCUCCUCCCUCAGCAUCUUCCCCAAGACCACAGUCUUGACCCUCCCUGUUACACAUCCUGGGGAAGCCAGCUUUGCUACUUGAACUCUGUACUUUCUUUUUCAUAAUAGGCACAAUAAGUAAAAAAAUAAAUCAAAAG